GUAACAAGGUUUCCCUAGGUGAACCUGCGGAAGGAUCAUUAAAGAUUAUGAAAGAGUAGAUUACUGGGGGAAAUGCUGAACAAGGCCUGCGCUUAAAUGCGCGGCCAGUUCAUGAUUCUCUGCUAUCAGUUUUCUUUUCUCUCAUCCUAAACACAAAGGAGUUUUUUCUCUAUGAACUACUUCCCUGGAAAGCUCGUCUUUCCAGUGGACAUAAACACAAACAAAAUUUUGCAUUAUGAAAAACUAUUAUACCAAAAAAAUUAAAAUUUAAAACUUUCAACAACGGAUCUCUUGGUUCUCGCAUCGAUGAAGAACGCAGCGAAAUGCGAUAUGUAUUGUGAAAUGCAGAUUUUCGUGAAACAUCAAAACUUUGAACGCACAUUGCGCCCUCUGGUAUUCCAGGGGGCAUGCCUGUUUGAGCGUCAUUUCUCUCUCAAACCUUUGGGUUUGGUAGUGAGUGAUACUCGUUUCCCGGUUAACUUGAAAGUGGCUAGCCCUUGCCUUCUGCGUGAGCAGGGCUGCGUGUCAAGUCUAUGGACUCGACUCUUGCACAUCUACGUCUUAGGUUUGCGCCAAAUCGUGGUAAGCUUGGGUCAAAGAGCUUAUAGGUGUUAUAAAGACUCGCUGGUGUUUGUCUCCUUGAGGCAUACGGCUUAACCAAAACUCUCAAAGUUUGACCUCAAAACAGGUAGGAAAACCCGCUGAACUUAAGCAUAUCC
RNAcentral lists this ribosomal RNA (719 nucleotides) under Kluyveromyces dobzhanskii. RNAcentral's name for it is "eukaryotic LSU rRNA". The stretch from base 272 to 425 matches the Rfam family "5.8S ribosomal RNA". Lineage: Eukaryota; Fungi; Ascomycota; Saccharomycetes; Saccharomycetales; Saccharomycetaceae. The record is from RNAcentral.